This 416-nucleotide ribosomal RNA is filed under the name uncultured bacterium. RNAcentral describes it as "bacterial SSU rRNA". It matches the Rfam family "Bacterial small subunit ribosomal RNA", at positions 355 to 775 of the family's 1533-position model. The record is from RNAcentral.
UGGGGAAUAUUGCGCAAUGGGCGAAAGCCUGACGCAGCGACGCCGCGUGGGGGAUGAAGCUUUUCGGAGUGUAAACCCCUUUCGACCCGGAAGAAUGUCCCGCAAGGGAUUGACGGUACGGGUAUAAGAAGCCCCGGCUAACUACGUGCCAGCAGCCGCGGUAAUACGUAGGGGGCCAGCGUUGCUCGGAAUUACUGGGCGUAAAGGGUUCGUAGGCGGUGCGGCAAGUCGGAAGUGAAAUCCCUGGGCUCAACUCAGGGGCUGCUCCCGAAACUGCCGUGCUUGAGUGCGGGAGAGGCGAGUGGAAUUACAGGUGUAGCGGUGAAAUGCGUAGAUAUCUGUAGGAACACCCGUGGCGAAGGCGGCUCGCUGGACCGCAACUGACGCUGAGGAACGAAAGCUAGGGGAGCAAACAG